This 496-nucleotide ribosomal RNA is filed under the name uncultured bacterium. RNAcentral describes it as "partial 16S ribosomal RNA". It matches the Rfam family "Bacterial small subunit ribosomal RNA", at positions 29 to 507 of the family's 1533-position model. The record is from RNAcentral.
AUGAACGCUGGCGGCGUGCCUAAUGCAUGCAAGUCGAGCGAACGGACGAGAAGCUUGCUUCUCUGAUGUUAGCGGCGGACGGGUGAGUAACACGUGGAUAACCUACCUAUAAGACUGGGAUAACUUCGGGAAACCGGAGCUAAUACCGGAUAAUAUUUUGAACCGCAUGGUUCAAAAGUGAAAGACGGUCUUGCUGUCACUUAUAGAUGGAUCCGCGCUGCAUUAGCUAGUUGGUAAGGUAACGGCUUACCAAGGCAACGAUGCAUAGCCGACCUGAGAGGGUGAUCGGCCACACUGGAACUGAGACACGGUCCAGACUCCUACGGGAGGCAGCAGUAGGGAAUCUUCCGCAAUGGGCGAAAGCCUGACGGAGCAACGCCGCGUGAGUGAUGAAGGUCUUCGGAUCGUAAAACUCUGUUAUUAGGGAAGAACAUAUGUGUAAGUAACUGUGCACAUCUUGACGGUACCUAAUCAGAAAGCCACGGCUAACUACGUG